This is a long non-coding RNA of Topomyia yanbarensis, 2482 nucleotides long. RefSeq lists it as uncharacterized. NCBI's taxonomy places the organism in Eukaryota, Metazoa, Arthropoda, Insecta, Diptera, Culicidae. The transcript is spliced from 5 exons. The record is from RefSeq and is a predicted model, not a curated record.
UUGUUGGUACGCAAUAACACUGCCAAUGAUUUCUGAAUGGUUCUGCAAGCUGCUGGAAACACCCAACAAUCCACGUUUUGCCAUGUAACUUACUAGAAGUGCUAGCAACGCUUCUACAAUGUAAAGGAAAUCCUUUUAUGAUCAUCUCCGUUGUGCAUGUCAUAAACCAAUACCAUGCGCUAAUGAUGCGUGACCUAAAGAAAGCACAGCAACCGGAGCGUACAACCGUAAACAGAAGAUUUCCUGGCCAAUCAUCCGUAAGGUCUUCGCAAAUGCAUCCUACACGAGGAGGCCUACAUUGCACUAUUACAGCCGGCUCAAUCGACUCACUAUGGUAUACUGCAGAUAUGUAACAUAAAUGGGAACAAUAUUAUGAAGCUCUAUUUGCUGUGCUUUCUACGGUGACGUACUGUGCCUCCAGCUUUUAUAUAUUGCUGCGAAAUCUAUCGGCUAUUCGAAACUAUUGAGUAAUCAUCAUGGACGUGGAACAAAUGUGAUCCGAACUUCUGAAUCAAUAUGCGAACGAAUUCGUAGAAACGAGGACUCAAUUCACCAGUCGGAAUAUUGGCAGAGAUCAUACUAUAACCGCAAAGUAUGUAACCGCUCAGACUAAGCUAACCGCGUUACCUAAAUUAGACCAAAAUCUAGAUGCCCAUCUGCCGAACAUUAUGAAAAUCCUCAUCAAUGACAUUCGCCUGUUAGACAAGAUGAAGUUAAAUAAUCACCAACCAAGUAUUUUUACCGACUGCACAAAUGUGCAUUCUACGCCAUAGUCAACGUGUGUCACAAUGCUACAGUCGUUGUAGUGUUGGACAGUUCCAGUCAGUAUAACUAUCAACGACUGAAGAAGUGUGGUCUGGAACUGCUGCGAAAAAUGAAAAAUUGUACAAGUUUGACGAAUCCCUCGAAAUCAGCGUACACGUGUUCGCUACUUUGUGCUAUUCGCUACUGAUGGCAGCGGCAUCGACGUUGGUUAUUGGUGAGCGGCAGCAUAUCGACUACGCAGUAGAGACCGUCGAGAUGGAAAAGAUAGCAAAGUAUUUGUUAAACUAUCUUUUUUCCUAGCAGUGCGUCUUUCCUGAAUAACCGAAAAUUGGAUGUUAAUAUGGAACUUUAGCAGCAGGCACUAAAGUCGACAACCGGCUACUGCAAAUUCAGCUUAAGGCUAAUGAAAUAUUCGCUUCGGUUGUAUCCAUCCUUCGGUAUACAGCGGUCUUUGUCCAACGAAAACUGAAUUUUCGCCGGUUUGGAAGCCAUCGAUACCUUGUAUCUGCGUCGUUCCACUAAGCUGAUAAUUACAGCCAUUGGCAACUGUAACUACUACUUCAAAGGAAACCCGAGAUUGCGGAAAACGUACGAAAAAACUUUUAAUUCGAUUGCUUUUCCAUUCGGAUCAGCACGAUAAAAGGUACGCCCACCUAAAAGAAUUGUUGUUUGAUCCCGAAUUUCAUCGUAUCGCUGAACUAAGGAGCUAUCCGGACCAUCGGCGAAGGCUUCUCAACUCUAAUCGCUGGACAUUCUAAUACCGGUAGAAAAUUUUUGUCGAGGUUAUCUGAGGUUGAAUAUUGCAGUUCGUACAGACAGAUUCAACAGCAAGCAGAAACACUAGCAAACAUUCCUCCUAGAUCAGUGCACCGAUUUACCAACGUUAGAUUUCCUGUACUUCCGAUACCGACAUCCGUGAAAAAGAGCUGCCAUGCAUCCUUUUCACAUGAUAAGUAGCACACAUGAUCAGCAUUAUUCGCCCAACGUCGACCCCAUUCGAGAGACCGUUUCCAACGGAGUUUGUUUGGUGAAAUCCAAAUACGACGUAGCAAAGCAUAUGUCAAGCGAUGUGUAUAACCUAAGCGUGUGUGUAUAACAUUAAAUCUAUGCUCGACACCCUGCAACAGAUCCAUUAUGAUCCAGCAAUCCCACACAGCGAUCUUAUACAGAUGAGCUUAAUGGCCAAAAAUUCGUGUCUGCGAGAUCAUUCAUAAAACUAAAAGAUGGGGAUUUGUGGAGUAAAUUCUUGACAACGCUCUGCGAGAGGAACAUUUUUUUACUAUCGGGACAGCGCAGUGUCCGCGAUUACACUCACCAAGGUUGCAAGAAAAUAUCUCCAACUAUCCCGCCAGUGGUUCGAUGCUCUCGAACACAUUUUGUGGAACGCAAAAAAUGAUCAGUCUUCCAGAGCAGAUAAAAAGUAGACCAUAGACCAUAGGCUUCUCCCAGAGCAGAACGGCGAAACACUCUUUGCUUUUACAUAAACCUGAUUCAAUCGAUCACUUUGUUUUGCUCUAUACGAUCACGAAAAAUUGCUUGCUCAUUAUUCUGGACCAAACGAAAAAGGUACACCUGAAACCGAAAGCUUACAAAGUAAUAGCAUUGCAGUGCAGUCAUACUAGCGCACUGAUUCGUUUCUGGAGGACAAAGAUUUUUGGGAGCUCAUUUAAUGCACAGCUGCAGUUACCCGUGGGAAUACCUAAUAAAUUCAACAAAU